RNAcentral lists this ribosomal RNA (508 nucleotides) under uncultured bacterium. Its description in RNAcentral is "partial 16S ribosomal RNA". It matches the Rfam family "Bacterial small subunit ribosomal RNA", at positions 28 to 523 of the family's 1533-position model. The record is from RNAcentral.
GAUGAACGCUAGCUACAGGCUUAACACAUGCAAGUCGAGGGGAAACGAUAUUGGAAGCUUGCUUCCGAUAGGCGUCGACCGGCGCACGGGUGAGUAACGCGUAUCCAACCUGCCCAUCACUUGGGGAUAACCUUGCGAAAGUAAGACUAAUACCCAAUGACGUCUCUAGAAGACAUCUGAAGGAGAUUAAAGAUUUAUCGGUGAUGGAUGGGGAUGCGUCUGAUUAGCUUGUUGGCGGGGUAACGGCCCACCAAGGCGACGAUCAGUAGGGGUUCUGAGAGAAAGGUCCCCCACAUUGGAACUGAGACACGGUCCAAACUACUACGGGAGGCAGCAGUGAGGAAUAUUGGUCAAUGGGCGAGAGCCUGAACCAGCCAAGUAGCGUGCAGGAUGACGGCCCUAUGGGUUGUAAACUGCUUUUAUAAGGGAAUAAAGUGAGCCUCGUGAGGCUUUUUGCAUGUACCUUAUGAAUAAGGACCGGCUAAUUCCGUGCCAGCAGCCGCAGUAA